GCGGGUGAGAGGAGCCAGAAUUCGCCGGAUCCGGCGACGGAGGGUGGUUUCCCGGCAGGGAGGAUGGAGCGAGGGGUGGAGUGGAGGCAGGAGGAGGUGGAGUCGUCGGAGGAGGAGGAAGUGGCGGUGGAGGCGAAGAAGGCAUCGCGGCGAGAGAUCGAACGGCUCUUCUUCUUCUUCGAAGACUUCUUGGAGGAGCCGAAGAAGGCCCCCACGGAGAGUUUCAUGGCUUCUUAGAUUUGGGGGGAGGGAACGGGGGAGAGA
This 264-nucleotide long non-coding RNA is filed under the name Elaeis guineensis (African oil palm). RNAcentral's name for it is "long non-coding RNA (EGUI_LNC027205)". The record is from RNAcentral. Lineage: Eukaryota; Viridiplantae; Streptophyta; Magnoliopsida; Arecales; Arecaceae.